GUCAGUGUGGUGGUCUCAGGUUAGUGUGUAUUGUCACUGUGGUGGUCUCAGGUUAGUGUGUAUUGUCACUGUGGUGGUCUCAGGUUAGUUGGUAUUGUCAGUGUGGUGGUCUCAGGUUAGUUGGUAUUGUCAGUGUGGUGGUCUCAGGUUAGUUGGUAUUGUCAGUGUGGUGGUCUCAGGUUAGUUAGUAUUGUCAGUGUGGUGGUCUCAGGUUAGUUAGUAUUGUCAGUGUGGUGGUCUCAGGUUAGUUGGUAUUGUCAGUGUGGUGGUCUCAGGUUAUUGUGUAUUGUCAGUGUGGUGGUCUCAGGUUAGUUUGUAUUGUCACUGUGGUAGUCUCAGGUUAGUUGGUAUUGUCACU
Priapulus caudatus is the source of this 358-nucleotide long non-coding RNA. RefSeq lists it as uncharacterized. NCBI's taxonomy places the organism in Eukaryota, Metazoa, Priapulida, Priapulimorpha, Priapulimorphida, Priapulidae. The transcript is spliced from 4 exons. The record is from RefSeq and is a predicted model, not a curated record.